This is a long non-coding RNA of Homo sapiens (human), 1823 nucleotides long. Ensembl annotates it as B3GALT5 antisense RNA 1. Its record names the gene B3GALT5-AS1. The record is from Ensembl. NCBI's taxonomy places the organism in Eukaryota, Metazoa, Chordata, Mammalia, Primates, Hominidae.
CAGAUGUUUUUAAAAAGAGAUGCUAAGCAAAAGGCCUGAUUAUGAGGAAUGAGCCAAAGUCAUGCAAGGCGUGGGGCGCUAUGGGACUGCGCAGUGACGACCCAGUGAAGUAGAUGCCUUGACGAUUCCCAUUUCACGGAUGAGACGACUCCGGCACAGAGAAGUCAGAGGGCCUGUCCUGGGUCACACAGCCACAGGCGGCCCCCAGAACGGGACUUCAGGGUGCACCACUGCACCCCAGCAGAGACCUCCGCCUGGCACACAGGGAAUGCUGGAGCAAUACUUAAAUAGGAACAUACAGUGGCAUAAGAGAGACCAACUUGGUGAUAACUGAUCAUAGGAUUAGACCAAGGUGCAGAAGCAAACAGAACCUCCAUAAAAUGUAAUGAUGUCUUGUGCCUGCAAUCCUAGUGCUUUCAGAGGCCAAGGUGGGAAGAUUCCUUGAGCUCAGGAGUUCGAGACCAGCCUGAACAACACAACAAGACCUCGUAUCUAUGAAAAAAUAAAAAUAAUAAAAUUAGCUGCACACCUAUUUGGUGGCACACACCUGUGGUCCCAGGUACUCGGGAGGCUGAGAUGAGAUCAUUUGAGCCCAGGAGAUCAAGGCUGCAAUCAGCUGUGAUCAUGCCACUGCCCUCCAGCCUGGACAACUGAGCGAGACCCUGUCUCCAAAAAAAGUAAAAUUAAAAAAAAAAUUAAAAUGUGAUGGAGUGCAGAGGAAAGGUCAGUUGAUUCUCACUAAGGGUUGGACUUCAUUGGUGAUUUUCUGUCUUUUUAAGAGUUAGAAACUCCUUUUUCAAAUGAAACGUGUAUGGACCUCCAAUGUCUUCAGCCAGGUCAGAGAUGUUUUGUUGGGGACGGGGGCUUCCAGCCCACUGAACACCCCUGUCCUGCCAUAGCCCCAGAGGUACCACCUUGGGCUCUGCCCAGUGCUGCUUCAACACCUCCAGAUGGGAGGAGAGGGACCUUUCCUUCCAGUUCUAACCCCCACAUCAGUCAAGGGAACCCUGUACAAAAUGCUGAGAAAGCCAAAGAAAGUCAGAGUGCAGGCAGCUUCUUGUGACUUACUGCGGGGGCUCCUUGUGUCUCCCCUCCUCCUGCCUGUUAGACUUCUCCUUGCUGGCUGGGCCCACGCGUGGAUGCACGGGUGCGGAGGAUGGGAACCCAGGAUCACUCAGCAACGUGCUUCUUGUCAGCUUCCUGCAAAGGGGAGAAAUCACGCGUCAACCAGAAGCUUUUAAGUGAAAAUCUGAGGACCUCCUACCUUCAUCCACCAGAAUGCUGCAGCUUUCAAAGUACUUUCUAGACAAUGUCAUUCAAGCUUGUGAUAAUCCCACUGGGUGGGAUGAGUGGGAGGUGUUAUUAUUUCACAGAUGAAAUUGAGGUUCGUUGGUGACUGAGCACCUCUUGUCACCUCACUGUCCCAUGUCCACAAUGGAGAUGCAGGAAAGGUGCUUUGAACUUUGGUCAGCACCUAGUAAGCCCUCAGUGCACGUUAGCACUGGUCAUUCGGUAGUGACCCAGGAGCUCAUCACUAGGAAGUGGCGGACUGGGAAGCAGAAUCAGACCUCCAAAUUCCCCCCAGGACCUGUCGCUCACUCUGCUAUUUGAGUGUCCAGCCCAGAAGCAUUUUCGGAUCUCCAAAAUAAAGUCAAAAGUGCUAGCAAUGCUUGGUGAAUUAAUAACAUGUGAUGUUGGCCAGGCACAGCGGCUCACGCCUAUAAUCCCAGCACUUUGGGAGGCCGAGGCGGGUGGAUCACGAAGUAAGGAGAUCGAGACCUUCUUGGCUAACACGGUGAAACCCCGUCUCUACUAAAAAUACA